RNAcentral lists this ribosomal RNA (253 nucleotides) under uncultured bacterium. Its description in RNAcentral is "partial 16S ribosomal RNA". It matches the Rfam family "Bacterial small subunit ribosomal RNA", at positions 524 to 776 of the family's 1533-position model. The record is from RNAcentral.
UACAGAGGUCUCAAGCGUUGUUCGGAUUCAUUGGGCGUAAAGGGCGCGUAGGCGGCGGGGUAAGUCUGGUGUGAAAUCUCGGAGCUCAACUCCGAAAUUGCACUGGAUACUGCUCUGCUUGAGGGUUGGAGAGGAGAUCGGAAUUCACGGUGUAGCAGUGAAAUGUGUAGAUAUCGUGAGGAAGACCAGUGGCGAAGGCGGAUCUCUGGACAAAUCCUGACGCUGAGGCGCGAAGGCUAGGGGAGCAAACGGG